Molecule: ribosomal RNA, 468 nt
Filed under: uncultured bacterium
Lineage: Bacteria
Description: partial 16S ribosomal RNA
Rfam family: Bacterial small subunit ribosomal RNA
Source: RNAcentral
GACGAACGCUGGCGGCGUGCUUAACACAUGCAAGUCGAACGGAAAGGCCCUGCUUUUGUGGGGUGCUCGAGUGGCGAUCGUGUGAGUAACACGUGAGUAACCUGCCCUUUACUUUGGGGUAACUUCAGGUAACUGGGGCUAAGACCGGAUAGGAGCUCCUGCUGCAUGGAGGGGGUUGGAAAGUUUCGGCGGUUGGGGAUGGACUCGCGGCUUAUCAGGUUGUUGGUUGGGUAGUGGCUUACCAAGGCUUUGACGGGUAGCCGGCCUGAGAGGGUGACCGGGGACAAUGGGACUGAGGUAGGGAGCAGAGUGCAAUGGGAGGCAGUAGUCGGAAGCAUGGUACAGCGAGCGGAAGCGUGAUGAAGAAACGUCGCGUGCGGAAUGCCGGUUUUCGGGUUGUGAACAGCUUUCGGCUGAGACGAAGCGUGAGUGACGGUAAUGGGUAAAGAAGCACCGGCUAACUACGUG